Molecule: long non-coding RNA, 947 nt
Organism: Lathyrus oleraceus (garden pea)
Lineage: Eukaryota; Viridiplantae; Streptophyta; Magnoliopsida; Fabales; Fabaceae
Exons: 2
Source: RefSeq, a predicted model, not a curated record
CAGGGGAUGCAUGCAUCAGACUAGGGGUAUGCCAUGAAGAAAUACAUUGGGCUCAAGAUGGAAACCCAUCGCUGGUUGUGUUAAUCAUUCAAGAAAAGGGGGUGUCUGGAAACAUUGUGGGUGUUGUUGGCAAUGUCAUGGGAUUAUGAGCCUUUGAGGCCUAAAACACCUCUAGCCAAGAGAAAAUGGGGGGUAUGUGAAAGCAAAUCUGGGUUCACAACUUCUGAGGUCACAACUUCGCCGUGUUGGAAUUCACCAUCAACGGCGGCGGAGGUCAAAUCACCACCAAACUUAACUCAACCUAACCGUCUUCUCUCCCUCUUUCAUAAUCCCAUCCCAAUUCGUUUCAAUCCCUCAUCAAUUGUUCAAAUAAAAAGAAAAACAUGAACCCUAAAUUACCAAACAUAAAUUAAAAGCAUAUGGCAGAUAAAACUGAGUCCAAACCUUAGGGGUUUGGAUCGCUAGUGACAAAUCUACAUUAUGGUGACUAUUUUUGCAUGGAUCAAAGAGGAAAAGGAGAAGAGCUUACCUGCCGGAGUAGCUCCGACGGCUCUUCAAGCUUGGCGUUUGUCAGAGAUAUUGUUCUUCAGGGCUAACUUGGCUUGGCAUGAAGAUGAUGACAUGAGCAAAACAUGACUUUUGGUAUAAGGCUUGAACAUGGGCAAAACUUGGUAUGAUGCACCCUAAUGAAGAUUGGUGACUUGGAGAUCAAAGUGGGACCCAUGAAGAUGAAGAAGGUAAUAGGUCUAGGGUUAAGUUGACUUUGGUCAACCAUUUGACCAAAAAGUCAACAAUUGAUCAAAAGUCAACUUUAGGUCAAAAUUAGGGGUUUCUUCAUGUAAUCCCAAAUAUGCACUUGUAAUGUACUUUUUUGAUGUCUUGGAUGUAGAUUGACCAUUAUAUGUAACUUGACUUAUGCCCUAAGUAAAAUAUAACUUUUCCCUCCA